This 258-nucleotide ribosomal RNA is filed under the name uncultured bacterium. RNAcentral's name for it is "partial 16S ribosomal RNA". It matches the Rfam family "Bacterial small subunit ribosomal RNA", at positions 96 to 354 of the family's 1533-position model. The record is from RNAcentral.
UGGCGGACGGGUGAGUAACGCGUGGAAAACCUGCCGUAUACUGGGGGAUAACACUUAGAAAUAGGUGCUAAUACCGCAUAAGCGCACAGCUUCGCAUGAAGCGGUGUGAAAAACUCUGGUGGUAUACGAUGGUUCCGCGUCUGAUUAGCUAGUUGGUGGGGUAAUGGCCUACCAAGGCAACGAUCAGUAGCCGGCCUGAGAGGGUGAACGGCCACAUAGGGACUGAGACACGGCCCAAACUCCUACGGGAGGCAGCAG